This 394-nucleotide ribosomal RNA is filed under the name uncultured bacterium. RNAcentral's name for it is "partial 16S ribosomal RNA". It matches the Rfam family "Bacterial small subunit ribosomal RNA", at positions 338 to 729 of the family's 1533-position model. The record is from RNAcentral.
CCUACGGGUGGCAGCAGUGAGGAAUAUUGGUCAAUGGGCGUAAGCCUGAACCAGCCAAGUCGCGUGAGGGAAGAAGGUUCUAUGGAUCGUAAACCUCUUUUAUAGGGGCGUAACGUGUGGCACGUGUCCUAUUAUGUAUGUACCCUAUGUAUAAGCAUGGGCUAACUGCGUGCCAGCAGCCGCGAUAAUUCGGAGGAUCCGAGGGGUAUCCGGAUUUAUUGGGUUUAAAGGGUGUGUAGGCGGGAUUUUAAGGCAGCGGUGAAAGUGUGUGGCUCAACCUGAGUCGUGCCGUUGAAACUGGGGGUCUUGAGUAUGUGUGAGGCAGGCGGAAUGCGUGGUGUAGCGGUGAAAUGCGUAGAUAUCACGCAGAACUCCGAUUGCGAAGGCAGUCUGC